AAAAUUUGCACUGCUGCUCUCGCGGACUCUUCCUUAAUGCACUUUAUGCAUUUUAAUCAUCUUCGGACUUUCCGAAGCCUACCCACUCGACAGUCAGUCGAUUCUAAACGAAGUCAAAUCCUCGAAUUUCGAUAAUUCACUUCCCUUACAUCCUCCCCACCUUACAAGAGUUUCGUCCUCGAAACGAACUCGACAAUAUUAAACUCAUCGAGAAUUUAAACUUUAG
This 226-nucleotide long non-coding RNA is filed under the name Ananas comosus (pineapple). RNAcentral's name for it is "long non-coding RNA (ACOM_LNC008921)". The record is from RNAcentral. Lineage: Eukaryota; Viridiplantae; Streptophyta; Magnoliopsida; Poales; Bromeliaceae.